UUAGAGGAAGUAAAAGUCGUAACAAGGUUUCCGUAGGUGAACCUGCGGAAGGAUCAUUACAGAAAGUAAACGCGGAUCAAACCGCGAACUUCUAAACCUUUGACGAUCGACUCAUGUUGCCUCGGCGGGUGCUCCCGCCAGAGGAUACAUCAAAACUCAUGUUUUAACGGUGUUGUCUGAGCUACAAGCAACGAAUCAAAACUUUCAACAACGGAUCUCUUGGUUCUGGCAUCGAUGAAGAACGCAGCGAAAUGCGAUAAGUAGUGUGAAUUGCAGAAUUCAGUGAAUCAUCGAAUCUUUGAACGCACAUUGCGCCCCUUGGUAUCCCGAGGGGCAUGCCUGUUCGAGCGUCAUUUCACCACUCAAGCCUGGCUUGGUGUUGGGCGACGUCCCCUUUGGGGACGCGCUUCGAAACGCUCGGCGGCGUGGCAUCGGCUUUAAGCGUAGCAGAAUCUUUCGCUUUGAAAGUCGGGGCCCCGUCUGCCGGAAGACCUACUCGCAAGGUUGACCUCGGAUCAGGUAGGGAUACCCGCUGAACUUAAGCAUAUCAAUAA
This 554-nucleotide ribosomal RNA is filed under the name uncultured Cenococcum. RNAcentral describes it as "eukaryotic LSU rRNA". The stretch from base 200 to 353 matches the Rfam family "5.8S ribosomal RNA". Lineage: Eukaryota; Fungi; Ascomycota; Dothideomycetes; Gloniales; Gloniaceae. The record is from RNAcentral.